Molecule: ribosomal RNA, 279 nt
Filed under: uncultured bacterium
Lineage: Bacteria
Description: partial 16S ribosomal RNA
Rfam family: Bacterial small subunit ribosomal RNA
Source: RNAcentral
UGCCAGCCGCCGCGGUAAUACGAAGGGUGCUAGCGUUGUUCGGAAUUACUGGGCGCAAAGAGCAUAUAGGCGGAUUGGAAAGUUGGGGGUGAAAUCCCGGGGCUCAACCCCGGAACUGCCUUCAAAACUCCCAGUCUAGAGUUCGAGAGAGGUGAGUGGAAUUCCGAGUGUAGAGGUGAAAUUCGUAGAUAUUCGGAAGAACACCAGUGGCGAAGGCGGCUCACUGGCUCGAUACUGACGCUGAGGUGCGAAAGUGUGGGGAGCAAACAGGAUUAGAUA